UCACUUUGCCCAAUACUGAGAAGUUGAUCUAGCUGAUCCGUCCCAUUAUUCAGCAUCCUCAAACCCUUCUGAGUCUCUGCAAGUUGAGAAACAGCCUGUCGUGCUUCUUCUUCUUUCUCUGAAGCAUACUUAAUUGCUUCAACUUAAUGUAAAUCUUCCAAUAAACAUAUUGCUACUUCUCCAAGCUUAACAAGCCCACGAACAUCACAACAUGC
RNAcentral lists this long non-coding RNA (215 nucleotides) under Brassica napus (rape). RNAcentral's name for it is "long non-coding RNA (BNAP_LNC013284)". Lineage: Eukaryota; Viridiplantae; Streptophyta; Magnoliopsida; Brassicales; Brassicaceae. The record is from RNAcentral.